This 468-nucleotide ribosomal RNA is filed under the name uncultured bacterium. Its description in RNAcentral is "partial 16S ribosomal RNA". It matches the Rfam family "Bacterial small subunit ribosomal RNA", at positions 28 to 507 of the family's 1533-position model. The record is from RNAcentral.
GACGAACGCUGGCGGCGUGCUUAACACAUGCAAGUCGAACGGAAAGGCCCUGCUUUUGUGGGGUGCUCGAGUGGCGAACGGGUGAGUAACACGUGAGUAACCUGCCCUUGACUUUGGGAUAACUUCAGGAAACUGGGGCUAAUACCGGGUAGGAGCUCCUGCUGCAUGGUGGGGGUUGGAAAGUUUCGGCGGUUGGGGAUGGACUCGCGGCUUAUCAGCUUGUUGGUGGGGUAGUGGCUUACCAAGGCUUUGACGGGUAGCCGGCCUGAGAGGGUGACCGGCCACAUUGGGACUGAGAUACGGCCCAGACUCCUACGGGAGGCAGCAGUGGGGAAUAUUGCACAAUGGGCGGAAGCCUGAUGCAGCAACGCCGCGUGCGGGAUGAUGGCCUUCGGGUUGUAAACCGCUUUCGCCUGUGACGAAGCGUGAGUGACGGUAAUGGGUAAAGAAGCACCGGCUAACUACGUG